AACGAACGCUGGCGGUGCGUCUUAAGCAUGCAAGUCGAACGGCAAGAAAGUGCUUGCACUUUCCUAGAGUGGCGGACUGGUGAGUAACGCGUGGGUGAUCUACCUUUAAGAUGGGGAUAGCUUUUAGAAAUAAGAGAUAAUACCGAAUGUGCUUACGGUGUUUUGACAUUGUAAGGAAAGGAGCGUUUGCUCGCUUAAAGAUGAGCCUGCGUCCCAUUAGCUAGUUGGUGAGGUAAAGGCCCACCAAGGCUAUGAUGGGUAUCCGACCUGAGAGGGUGAUCGGACACAUUGGGACUGAGAUACGGCCCAAACUCCUACGGGAGGCAGCAGCUGAGAAUCUUCCGCAAUGGACGAAAGUCUGACGGAGCGACACCGCGUGAAUGAUGAAGGCCGAAAGGUUGUAAAAUUCUUUUGCAGACAAAGAAUAAGUGCAGGAGGAAAUGCCUGCAUGAUGACGGUAGUUAUGCGAAUAAGCCCCGGCUAAUUACGUGC
Molecule: ribosomal RNA, 492 nt
Filed under: Treponema sp. oral taxon G86
Lineage: Bacteria; Pseudomonadati; Spirochaetota; Spirochaetia; Treponematales; Treponemataceae
Description: bacterial SSU rRNA
Rfam family: Bacterial small subunit ribosomal RNA
Source: RNAcentral